This 24-nucleotide non-coding RNA is filed under the name Arabidopsis thaliana (thale cress). Lineage: Eukaryota; Viridiplantae; Streptophyta; Magnoliopsida; Brassicales; Brassicaceae. The record is from RNAcentral.
GGCGGUGUCACAAUUACACUGGAC